GCGCCCUUGGUGUAGCGGUAACACACAAUCUACAUCUACGUUAAAAAGCAGGGAGAAUUUGGAUUGGGUCCGGAGUUCGAAUCCCCGAGGGCGCA
Molecule: non-coding RNA, 95 nt
Organism: Mycena leptocephala
Lineage: Eukaryota; Fungi; Basidiomycota; Agaricomycetes; Agaricales; Mycenaceae
Source: the annotation of a GenBank genome assembly